RNAcentral lists this ribosomal RNA (511 nucleotides) under uncultured bacterium. Its description in RNAcentral is "partial 16S ribosomal RNA". The record is from RNAcentral.
GGAGUUAGCCGGUGCUUCUUCUGCGAGUAACGUCACAGAUGUAAGGUAUUAACUUACACCCUUUCCUCCUCGCUGAAAGUGCUUUACAACCCGAAGGCCUUCUUCACACACGCGGCAUGGCUGCAUCAGGGUUUCCCCCAUUGUGCAAUAUUCCCCACUGCUGCCUCCCGUAGGAGUCUGGGCCGUGUCUCAGUCCCAGUGUGGCUGAUCAUCCUCUCAGACCAGCUAGGGAUCGUCGCCUAGGUGAGCCUUUACCUCACCUACUAGCUAAUCCCACCUGGGCUUAUCCAUCAGCGCAAGGCCCGAAGGUCCCCUGCUUUCCCCCGUAGGGCGUAUGCGGUAUUAGCAGUCGUUUCCAACUGUUAUCCCCCACAAAUGGGCAAAUUCCCAGGCAUUACUCACCCGUCCGCCGCUCGUCAUAUUCAAAAGCAAGCUUUUGAAAUGUUACCGCUCGACUUGCAUGUGUUAGGCCUGCCGCCAGCGUUCAAUCUGAGCCAUGAUCAAACUCUGA